This 775-nucleotide ribosomal RNA is filed under the name uncultured Neocallimastigales. RNAcentral's name for it is "partial large subunit ribosomal RNA". It matches the Rfam family "Eukaryotic large subunit ribosomal RNA", at positions 18 to 640 of the family's 3401-position model. The record is from RNAcentral. Lineage: Eukaryota; Fungi; Neocallimastigomycota; Neocallimastigomycetes; Neocallimastigales.
CAGACGAUGCGUCAUGCAUAUCAAUAAGCGGAGGAAAAGAAACUAACAAGGAUUCCCUUAGUAACGGCGAGUGAAGCAGGAAGAGCUCAAAUUUGAAAUCUUCAAGGUUUUACCUUGACGAAUUGUAGUUUAAAGAAGUGUUUUCUGUUGAAGUUUUGGUAAAAGUUCUUUGGAAUAGGACAUCAUAGAGGGUGAGAAUCCCGUAUUUGACCAUUAUUUUCAGCUGUGUGAUACACUUUCAAAGAGUCGGAUUGUUUGGGAAUGCAGUCCAAAAUGGGUGGUAAAUUUCAUCUAAAGCUAAAUAUUGGCGAGAGACCGAUAGCGAACAAGUACCGUGAGGGAAAGAUGAAAAGAACUUUGAAAAGAGAGUUAAACAGUACGUGAAAUUGUCAAAAGGGAAGCGUUUGACACCAGUGUUGUUUUCUCGAAAAUCAAUUAAAAGAGUGGAUUCAUGCUAGUUGUAUUGACCUUAAUCAGCUUGCUUCACUCUUUUCCUGCUUUCUUUAAUGCACUUUUCGUUUAACAAGUCAACAUCAGUUUCUUUUGUUGUAAAAGGGUCAUUGGAAGGUGGCUUUCUCUUCGGAGAAAGUGUUUAUAGCCUUUGAUCUCUGCAAUCGGAGAGACUGAGGUCUGCAGCGUAGAUCCUUCGGGGUUAGAUACAUUUGUGCUAAGCUACAGCUUUUCAUAGACAACUUGUUGACUAUGUUUAGUCUUGUAACUUACCCGCUUAUGCUAUUUUACCUACGCUUAGGAUGUUGAUAUGCAUGACUGAUAU